RNAcentral lists this ribosomal RNA (552 nucleotides) under Triticum aestivum (bread wheat). Its description in RNAcentral is "partial small subunit ribosomal RNA". The record is from RNAcentral. Lineage: Eukaryota; Viridiplantae; Streptophyta; Magnoliopsida; Poales; Poaceae.
AUGCCGCAGCCGUCCGGCGACAUGGAUGAUGAUGUCAUGCAGGACAUCCCAUCGCUUUGCAAGUCCACCUUGGAGACUUGCCUCGGCCCCUUCCGCCGCCUUCUCAUCGAGCUCAAUGGUGUGGCCUCCACAGGGGACCACCCAGUCGUGACUUGCAUCGUCUCGGACCUCACCAUGUGUUUCGCCAUGGAUGCCGCCAAAGAGUUAGAUGUCCCCUAUGUCCAGCUUUGGACGGCCAGCACCGUUAGCUAUCUCGGAUUCCGUUAUUUCCGUCUCCUCAUUGACCGUGGCAUCGUCCCACUUCAAGAUGAGAAACAGCUUAUGGAUGGAUACCUUGACACCCCACUGGAGGAUCUACCGGGGCUGAGGAACAUGAGGCUUAGGGACUUCCGGAGCUUCAUCAUGAACCCAGAUGACUACAUUGUGGAGUAUGCCAUCAAAGUAACCGAGAGUGCGGCCGGGGCUUCCGCCGUAAUCGUCAACAACUUUGACGACCUCGAGGGCUCCUUGGCAGACCCAAGGUCAACACGAUCGGCCCGCUCACUCUGCUAG